GUUUGAUCCUGGCUCAGGACGAACGCUGGCGGCGUGCCUAAUACAUGCAAGUCGAGCGAACAGAAGGGAGCUUGCUCCCGGAUGUUAGCGGCGGACGGGUGAGUAACACGUGGGUAACCUGCCUGUAAGACUGGGAUAACUCCGGGAAACCGGAGCUAAUACCGGAUAGUUCCUUGAACCGCAUGGUUCAAGGAUGAAAGACGGUUUCGGCUGUCACUUACAGAUGGACCCGCGGCGCAUUAGCUAGUUGGUGGGGUAAUGGCUCACCAAGGCGACGAUGCGUAGCCGACCUGAGAGGGUGAUCGGCCACACUGGGACUGAGACACGGCCCAGACUCCUACGGGAGGCAGCAGUAGGGAAUCUUCCGCAAUGGACGAAAGUCUGACGGAGCAACGCCGCGUGAGUGAUGAAGGUUUUCGGAUCGUAAAGCUCUGUUGUUAGGGAAGAACAAGUGCGAGAGUAACUGCUCGCACCUUGACGGUACCUAACCAGAAAGCCACGGCUAACUACGUGCCAGCAGCCGCGGUAAUACGUAGGUGGCAAGCGUUGUCCGGAAUUAUUGGGCGUAAAGGGCUCGCAGGCGGUUUCUUAAGUCUGAUGUGAAAGCCCCCGGCUCAACCGGGGAGGGUCAUUGGAAACUGGGAAACUUGAGUGCAGAAGAGGAGAGUGGAAUUCCACGUGUAGCGGUGAAAUGCGUAGAGAUGUGGAGGAACACCAGUGGCGAAGGCGACUCUCUGGUCUGUAACUGACGCUGAGGAGCGAAAGCGUGGGGAGCGAACAGGAUUAGAUACCCUGGUAGUCCACGCCGUAAACGAU
This 816-nucleotide ribosomal RNA is filed under the name Bacillus sp. AKB-2008-RJ4. Its description in RNAcentral is "bacterial SSU rRNA". It matches the Rfam family "Bacterial small subunit ribosomal RNA", at positions 11 to 810 of the family's 1533-position model. The record is from RNAcentral. Lineage: Bacteria; Bacillati; Bacillota; Bacilli; Caryophanales; Bacillaceae.